This 614-nucleotide ribosomal RNA is filed under the name Escherichia coli. RNAcentral's name for it is "partial 23S ribosomal RNA". It matches the Rfam family "Bacterial large subunit ribosomal RNA", at positions 575 to 1191 of the family's 2925-position model. The record is from RNAcentral. Lineage: Bacteria; Pseudomonadati; Pseudomonadota; Gammaproteobacteria; Enterobacterales; Enterobacteriaceae.
GGGAGCCUCUUAAUGGGGUGACUGCGUACCUUUUGUAUAAUGGGUCAGCGACUUAUAUUCUGUAGCAAGGUUAACCGAAUAGGGGAGCCGAAGGGAAACCGAGUCUUAACUGGGCGUUAAGUUGCAGGGUAUAGACCCGAAACCCGGUGAUCUAGCCAUGGGCAGGUUGAAGGUUGGGUAACACUAACUGGAGGACCGAACCGACUAAUGUUGAAAAAUUAGCGGAUGACUUGUGGCUGGGGGUGAAAGGCCAAUCAAACCGGGAGAUAGCUGGUUCUCCCCGAAAGCUAUUUAGGUAGCGCCUCGUGAAUUCAUCUCCGGGGGUAGAGCACUGUUUCGGCAAGGGGGUCAUCCCGACUUACCAACCCGAUGCAAACUGCGAAUACCGGAGAAUGUUAUCACGGGAGACACACGGCGGGUGCUAACGUCCGUCGUGAAGAGGGAAACAACCCAGACCGCCAGCUAAGGUCCCAAAGUCAUGGUUAAGUGGGAAACGAUGUGGGAAGGCCCAGACAGCCAGGAUGUUGGCUUAGAAGCAGCCAUCAUUUAAAGAAAGCGUAAUAGCUCACUGGUCGAGUCGGCCUGCGCGGAAGAUGUAACGGGGCUAAACCAUG